GGUUCAUUCAAAUUUCUUCCUUAUCAACUUUCGAUGGUAAGGUAUUGGCUUACCAUGGUUUCAACGGGUAACGGGGGAUUAGGGUUCGAUUCCGGAGAGGGAGCCUGAGAAACGGCUACCACAUCCAAGGAAGGCAGCAGGCGCGCAAAUUACCCAAUCCCGACCGGGGAGGUAGUGACAAUAAAUACUGAUACAGGGCUCUUUUGGGUCUUGUAAUUGGAAUGAGUACAAUUUAAACCUCUUAACGAGGAACAAUUGGAGGGCAAGUCUGGUGCCAGCAGCCGCGGUAAUUCCAGCUCCAAUAGCGUAUAUUAAAGUUGUUGAGGUUAAAAAGCUCGUAGUUG
RNAcentral lists this ribosomal RNA (344 nucleotides) under uncultured fungus. RNAcentral describes it as "SSU rRNA". It matches the Rfam family "Eukaryotic small subunit ribosomal RNA", at positions 292 to 636 of the family's 1831-position model. The record is from RNAcentral. Lineage: Eukaryota; Fungi.